RNAcentral lists this ribosomal RNA (903 nucleotides) under Salmonella enterica subsp. enterica serovar Typhimurium. Its description in RNAcentral is "partial 23S ribosomal RNA". It matches the Rfam family "Bacterial large subunit ribosomal RNA", at positions 755 to 1572 of the family's 2925-position model. Lineage: Bacteria; Pseudomonadati; Pseudomonadota; Gammaproteobacteria; Enterobacterales; Enterobacteriaceae. The record is from RNAcentral.
GGUAACACUAACUGGAGGACCGAACCGACUAAUGUUGAAAAAUUAGCGGAUGACCUGUGGCUGGGGGUGAAAGGCCAAUCAAACCGGGAGAUAGCUGGUUCUCCCCGAAAGCUAUUUAGGUAGCGCCUCGUGAAUUCAUCUCCGGGGGUAGAGCACUGUUUCGGCUAGGGGGCCAUCCCGGCUUACCAACCCGAUGCAAACUGCGAAUACCGGAGAAUGUUAUCACGGGAGACACACGGCGGGUGCUAACGUCCGUCGUGAAGAGGGAAACAACCCAGACCGCCAGCUAAGGUCCCAAAGUCAUGGUUAAGUGGGAAACGAUGUGGGAAGGCCCAGACAGCCAGGAUGUUGGCUUAGAAGCAGCCAUCAUUUAAAGAAAGCGUAAUAGCUCACUGGUCGAGUCGGCCUGCGCGGAAGAUGUAACGGGGCUAAACCAUGCACCGAAGCUGCGGCAGCGAACGUAUCACCCAAGACAACUUUACGGAGUUGACGAUUGACGGAGCGAAGCGACGUCAAAGCGUUCAUUAAAGUCGAGUUGGCUUAGGGAUACGUUCGUUGGGUAGGGGAGCGUUCUGUAAGCCUGUGAAGGUGUGUCGUGAGGCAUGCUGGAGGUAUCAGAAGUGCGAAUGCUGACAUAAGUAACGAUAAAGCGGGUGAAAAGCCCGCUCGCCGGAAGACCAAGGGUUCCUGUCCAACGUUAAUCGGGGCAGGGUGAGUCGACCCCUAAGGCGAGGCCGAAAGGCGUAGUCGAUGGGAAACGGGUUAAUAUUCCCGUACUUGGUGUUACUGCGAAGGGGGGACGGAGAAGGCUAUGUUGGCCGGGCGACGGUUGUCCCGGUUUAAGCGUGUAGGUGUGUGUUCCAGGUAAAUCCGGUUCACUUUAACACUGAGGCGUGACGACGA